AGGGCUUUAGUGAUAAAUGGACCUGGCUGUUGUCUGUCCACAGCAGACAGGCAAGGGAUGCAGACAAACAGACACAGAGCCGGAAGAGCUUGCGACUCGGAAAUGAUCUUAACUGCUGAAGCUCAAAUUCCUUAAAGGGAGACCUGGUCUACUGUGGAGUGAAUGCCUGACAGGGAAUCUGAUUACGUCAGGGGAUUUGGCUGCCGGCAGAUAUUGGGGAAUUCCUGGGUCAUGUGCUCGGAUGUGCCCAGGAAUCUGAGCUGAGCUGAGCCAUCUCAAUCCUGCCCACCUCAACAUCCAGUGUUAGGGGCGCCUCAUGCCCAGGACUGGGAUGCUCUGGACCCACAAGGGUUAAUGACAUCGUCGUGGUCCUGGAGAGAACCUGUGUGGAUGGCCGUGAGGUGGGGACACAGGGGCUUGUAUUUAUCAGCCAACCUGCCAAUCCUGGCAUUGGGUUCUGGAGGGGCCGGCAGUGUGGACAUCAAAGCAGCAGAGGCUCCUGCACUGGGGAGACUGCAACUCAUCACCCACCUUAAAGGGAUUCUGAGCCUGGUCACCUGUUCCCUGUGUGAGCACCAGCGUGUAAAUAGUGUAAGGAGGAGAGACAUCUGGACACACAGGGCACAGAAGACAGAGACAGAGGCUGGAGUUACACUGUCACAAGCCUGGGAACACCAAGGAUUGCCGGCACCCACCAGGAGCUAAGAAGAGGCAAACGGGGUUCUCCCUGCGCUGGAUUUCAGACUUCCAGACUCGUGAGAUGAUAGACUUUCCAAGAUCAUGAGGCAAUUUCUGCUGUUUGAAGCAACCGGUGUGCCGUGUUUUGUUACAGCAGCCCUGGGAAACUGAGGAAAUGGAAAUACAGUGGCCCAGCCCACCUGGGUCCUUUUAUGGGUCCUUUGAUGUGCCCGCCUCUUCAGCUCUUGCCCAGGCCCUACCUCCUGCUUUCACUUCUGCGGUUGCCUCUUUCUGACCCUGAAUGAGGUCUGUCUCCUUCAGGGUCAGAAUGCACCUGCCCCCUCAGCUCUUUGAUCUCACCUGGUGGCCUCGUCUCCAGUUCUCUGGAGGCUUUGAUCCUGUUCUGCAGUGAUCUGGGGGCAGGGAUGCCGUCUCUUAGGGCAGAGCUUAGAACGGCAGGGGCAGGGGGUGUUUGGCACUCCCCCCAACCCACCCUCGCCCCUGCCCAACUGGGUUAGAAUUUCCUUUCCUUCCUUCCCAUCACUUCUUAGCUGAGCCACCAAAGGCUAGUCACAGUGAUAGGGAUGGAGCAGAUGCAGGUAGUUUUAGAAGCCCCUAUAAAGGACCACAGAUAACGAGGGAAACUUAGGGGACAGUGGGAUAACCCUGUAAGUAAAUAGAUUGCUCAGAAAAGCCACCAGAACAAGGCAGCUUUGCUUCAUUAGUGGAGACUUGAGAAUUGCCUCAGGCUGGGGGAUGGGGUGAGGGCUGCAUUCAGAUUCAGACCAAGGGCAAGAGUUUGAGGACCAGCCUUCUGCGGAUUUGAAUAUGCAUCUUACCAGAUACCAGGGAGCAGCUGGUACUCCCAGAAAGGAAGAGGCAGGCUUUUCCAACCCCCACUGGAUAAAA
This is a long non-coding RNA of Phacochoerus africanus (Common warthog), 1587 nucleotides long. RefSeq lists it as uncharacterized. Lineage: Eukaryota; Metazoa; Chordata; Mammalia; Artiodactyla; Suidae. The record is from RefSeq and is a predicted model, not a curated record. The transcript has 4 exons.